GCCAUCCGAUUCUAGACCUUAAUCGGAGCGCUGAAAACCAAUUAAGGACUGACGUGAUUAAGAAGGAAGAAACUAUGCCUGGCAGCAUUGGGUGAAUGGAGGUAGAAACAGAGGAAACUGAAAAUGGUAAUAAUGAUGUAUCUCGUCCCUAAAGAGGCUAAUGAUCAACCGAAGGAACUACUAUACUAGAAACAAGCUUCUAAAAGGCUAUUGCAGAAUGGGAUACGGGUACUGAUGCGGGUCCUCUUGUAACUAGGCGUAGGCAUAUUCGGUUUGAAUCUCUUCAUGAAGGUAUAUAGGGGUGCUAAACGGGUCGGGUUUGCGGGUCAACCCGACCCGAACCUGAAAAUUUUAGACUGAUGCGAACCCGAAAAUCAUGCCGUACAUAUGAACCCGAACCCGACCCGAAUAUUCGCAUACUGACCGAACCCGACCCGUUCAACCCGAUUUUUUUUUUAUUUUUUUCAGCAAAUUAAUAUAUUA
RNAcentral lists this long non-coding RNA (483 nucleotides) under Helianthus annuus (common sunflower). RNAcentral describes it as "sRNA HanXRQr2_Chr05g0211881". The record is from RNAcentral. Lineage: Eukaryota; Viridiplantae; Streptophyta; Magnoliopsida; Asterales; Asteraceae.